GACGAACGCUGGCGGCGUGCCUAAUACAUGCAAGUAGAACGCUGAAGGAGGAGCUUGCUUCUCUGGAUGAGUUGCGAACGGGUGAGUAACGCGUAGGUAACCUGCCUGGUAGCGGGGGACAACUAUUGGAAACGAUAGCUAAUACCGCAUAAGAGUAGAUGUUGCAUGACAUUUGCUUAAAAGGUGCAAUUGCAUCACUACCAGAUGGACCUGCGUUGUAUUAGCUAGUUGGUGAGGUAACGGCUCACCAAGGCGACGAUACAUAGCCGACCUGAGAGGGUGAUCGGCCACACUGGGACUGAGACACGGCCCAGACUCCUACGGGAGGCAGCAGUAGGGAAUCUUCGGCAAUGGACGGAAGUCUGACCGAGAAACGCCGCGUGAGUGAAGAAGGUUUUCGGAUCGUAAAGCUCUGUUGUAAGAGAAGAACGAGUGUGAGAGUGGAAAGUUCACACUGUGACGGUAUCUUACCAGAAAGGGACGGCUAACUACGUG
This 495-nucleotide ribosomal RNA is filed under the name uncultured bacterium. RNAcentral describes it as "partial 16S ribosomal RNA". It matches the Rfam family "Bacterial small subunit ribosomal RNA", at positions 28 to 507 of the family's 1533-position model. The record is from RNAcentral.